RNAcentral lists this ribosomal RNA (420 nucleotides) under uncultured bacterium. RNAcentral describes it as "bacterial SSU rRNA". It matches the Rfam family "Bacterial small subunit ribosomal RNA", at positions 355 to 774 of the family's 1533-position model. The record is from RNAcentral.
UGGGGAAUCUUGCGCAAUGGGGGAAACCCUGACGCAGCCACGCCGCGUGGAGGAAGACACCCCUAUGGGGCGUAAACUCCUUUUCUGUCGGAAGAAAACCCUGUUUUGCAGGGCCUGACGGUACGACAGGAAUAAGCACCGGCUAACUCCGUGCCAGCAGCCGCGGUAAUACGGAGGGUGCAAGCGUUGUCCGGAAUUACUGGGCGUAAAGGGUGUGCAGGCGGGACAGCAAGUCAGCGGUGAAAUACUGCGGCUUAACCGUAGAAGUGCCGUUGAAACUGUUGUUCUUGAGUCCUAGAGAGGUCGCUGGAAUUCGUGGUGUAGCGGUGAAAUGCGUAGAUAUCACGAGGAACACCAGAGGCGUAAGCGAGCGACUAGAUAGGUACUGACGCUGAGGCACGAAAGCGUGGGGAGCAAACA